Molecule: ribosomal RNA, 346 nt
Filed under: uncultured bacterium
Lineage: Bacteria
Description: partial 16S ribosomal RNA
Rfam family: Bacterial small subunit ribosomal RNA
Source: RNAcentral
CCUACGGGUGGCAGCAGUGAGGAAUAUUGGUCAAGGGACGAGAGUCUGAACCAGCCAAGUAGCGUGAAGGAUGACUGCCCUAUGGGUUGUAAACUUCUUUUAUAUGGGAAUAAAACAGGGUAUGCAUACACUCUUGUAUGUACCAUAUGAAUAAGGAUCGGCUAACGCCGUGCCAGCAGCCGCGGUAAUACGGAGGAGCCGAGCGUUAUCCGGAGUUCUUGGGUUUACAGGGAGCGUAGGUGGCUUGUUACGUCAGUUGUGAAAGUUUGCGGCUCAACCGUAAAAUUGCAGUUGAAACUUGCAGUCUUGCGUCCAGUAGCUGUGGGCGGACUUCGUUGUGUAGCCG